ACAGCACCCAGCUCGUCCCUUUUUUGUGUGUGCUUGUGGCCGAGCAGUGAUGAAAUCUUGUGUCCCUGUGGCAACAGGCGCCCUAAGUGCAUAACUGCUCUUGAGAGUGGAUGAACAAGCCUCAAAUGGAACCUGAGAAGAAGGGGAAAAAAGGGAGGGGAGGGAGAAAAUCAAUUUUCCCAGACAGAGGCCGGCUGGUCUAAUGGAGGGCUAAAAGAAGAGGAGGAGGAGAGGACAUAUUUUCCUCUGAUUACCUUCUGUAGCCUCCCUGGCAAACCUCGAAAGCUAGGAUUGCUAGAGCGGCCUCGCUCAUCUGACCUUUUCGCAGAAAGGAGUCCCAGAUGCCACAGAUGUGUUAAGGCUACCUGUUUGGAAAAGCUUUUACAGUUGACCAGGAGUGGCUUUUUGUGGUCUCUCUCUCUCUACAGGGAAACAGCAGAGAUGGGAGUUAGCAGAGAGACACAGAGCUUUCUUUUCGCCGGUAGCCGCAGGCAGCGGGGGCUGGAACGGCUGGCUGACCGCUCACCGCUUCACUCCGCGCGGCAGGCGAGUGGACCAGGCGCCGCUGAGCCCCGGGAAGACGCUACGCCGGGGCGAUGAAGUGAUUCCGCUACGGCUCAUUUUACAGGGGCAUAUGGUGUAGCUGCAUGCAACAGCUUUGAUUUAAUUCACAUUAUUAAGAGUUAUUUGUUGAGCAUAUUAUAUCCUAAAUACUGUUUAAUAUUAUUACUUUUGAUAUUUUCUUUUGUUCGCAGCGGUAAAACAUUUUAAGGAAACGUUUUAAUUAAAAAUGCAUAAAAAUCAGA
Molecule: long non-coding RNA, 806 nt
Organism: Micropterus salmoides (largemouth bass)
Lineage: Eukaryota; Metazoa; Chordata; Actinopteri; Centrarchiformes; Centrarchidae
Exons: 4
Source: RefSeq, a predicted model, not a curated record